RNAcentral lists this ribosomal RNA (507 nucleotides) under Alternaria alternata. RNAcentral describes it as "eukaryotic LSU rRNA". The stretch from base 207 to 360 matches the Rfam family "5.8S ribosomal RNA". Lineage: Eukaryota; Fungi; Ascomycota; Dothideomycetes; Pleosporales; Pleosporaceae. The record is from RNAcentral.
GUAACAAGGUCUCCGUAGGUGAACCUGCGGAGGGAUCAUUACACAAAUAUGAAGGCGGGCUGGAACCUCUCGGGGUUACAGCCUUGCUGAAUUAUUCACCCUUGUCUUUUGCGUACUUCUUGUUUCCUUGGUGGGUUCGCCCACCACUAGGACAAACAUAAACCUUUUGUAAUUGCAAUCAGCGUCAGUAACAAAUUAAUAAUUACAACUUUCAACAACGGAUCUCUUGGUUCUGGCAUCGAUGAAGAACGCAGCGAAAUGCGAUAAGUAGUGUGAAUUGCAGAAUUCAGUGAAUCAUCGAAUCUUUGAACGCACAUUGCGCCCUUUGGUAUUCCAAAGGGCAUGCCUGUUCGAGCGUCAUUUGUACCCUCAAGCUUUGCUUGGUGUUGGGCGUCUUGUCUCUAGCUUUGCUGGAGACUCGCCUUAAAGUAAUUGGCAGCCGGCCUACUGGUUUCGGAGCGCAGCACAAGUCGCACUCUCUAUCAGCAAAGGUCUAGCAUCCAUUAA